UUAAAUUGAAGAGUUUGAUCAUGGCUCAGAUUGAACGCUGGCGGCAGGCCUAACACAUGCAAGUCGAACGGUAACAGGAAUCAGCUUGCUGAUUUGCUGACGAGUGGCGGACGGGUGAGUAAUGUCUGGGAAACUGCCUGAUGGAGGGGG
Molecule: ribosomal RNA, 150 nt
Filed under: Escherichia coli
Lineage: Bacteria; Pseudomonadati; Pseudomonadota; Gammaproteobacteria; Enterobacterales; Enterobacteriaceae
Also listed under: 1 other name
Description: partial 16S ribosomal RNA
Rfam family: Bacterial small subunit ribosomal RNA
Source: RNAcentral